CGCGUGAGUGAAGAAGGAUUUCGGUUCGUAAAACUCUGUUGUAAGGGAAGAACAAGUACAGUAGUAACUGGCUGUACCUUGACGGUACCUUAUUAGAAAGCCACGGCUAACUACGUGCCAGCAGCCGCGGUAAUACGUAGGUGGCAAGCGUUGUCCGGAAUUAUUGGGCGUAAAGCGCGCGCAGGUGGUUUCUUAAGUCUGAUGUGAAAGCCCACGGCUCAACCGUGGAGGGUCAUUGGAAACUGGGAGACUUGAGUGCAGAAGAGGAUAGUGGAAUUCCAAGUGUAGCGGUGAAAUGCGUAGAGAUUUGGAGGAACACCAGUGGCGAAGGCGACUGUCUGGUCUGUAACUGACACUGAGGCGCGAAAGCGUGGGGAGCAAACAGGAUUAGAUAC
This 395-nucleotide ribosomal RNA is filed under the name Lysinibacillus sp. RNAcentral describes it as "bacterial SSU rRNA". It matches the Rfam family "Bacterial small subunit ribosomal RNA", at positions 398 to 785 of the family's 1533-position model. The record is from RNAcentral. Lineage: Bacteria; Bacillati; Bacillota; Bacilli; Caryophanales; Bacillaceae.